RNAcentral lists this ribosomal RNA (484 nucleotides) under uncultured bacterium. RNAcentral describes it as "partial 16S ribosomal RNA". It matches the Rfam family "Bacterial small subunit ribosomal RNA", at positions 30 to 507 of the family's 1533-position model. The record is from RNAcentral.
AUUGAACGCUGGCGGCAGGCCUAACACAUGCAAGUCGAGCGGAUGAAGGGAGCUUGCUCCUGGAUUCAGCGGCGGACGGGUGAGUAAUGCCUAGGAAUCUGCCUGGUAGUGGGGGAUAACGUCCGGAAACGGGCGCUAAUACCGCAUACGUCCUGAGGGAGAAAGUGGGGGAUCUUCGGACCUCACGCUAUCAGAUGAGCCUAGGUCGGAUUAGCUAGUUGGUGGGGUAAAGGCCUACCAAGGCGACGAUCCGUAACUGGUCUGAGAGGAUGAUCAGUCAAACUGGAACGGAGACACGGUCCAGACUCCUACGGGAGGCAGCAGUGGGGAAUAUUGGACAAUGGGCGGAAGCCUGAUCCAGCCAUGCCGCGUGUGUGAAGAAGGUCUUCGGAUUGUAAAGCACUUUAAGUUGGGAGGAAGGGCAGUAAGUUAAUACCUUGCUGUUUUGACGUUACCGACAGAAUAAGCACCGGCUAACUUCGUG